UUUUUAGUAUAUACAAAUGGCCGAAUCAACUGAAUUUCGCUGCGAUUACUGUAAUUUUGUAUGUUGCAGCGGACAAAGUAAGCUUUUUUUUGAUCACUUGGUUAAAAUACACUCAAACGAGCCGAAUUUCAAGAUAUUUUGUAACAGCUGUCCACGGUCGUUUACAAAGAUAAACAGUCUCCAAAAACAUUAUUACAGACAGCAUAAGGCUUUAACAGUGGAAGAAGACUUAAAUGAUGGGGAAAAUGAGAACCAUUUUCAGGAGAUGUUUGACGAGGGAGAAGCACGAAGUCUAAUGCAACGCCAUGCUGCCAAAUUCCUUUUAUGUUCCAAAACAAGAGGUAUGCUCACCCAGAGUGCCGUGGACUUGGUCAAAGAUUCAGCGAAAAAUCUACUAACUGAGUAUUUGGACAUAGUCAAAAAAUCGCUUGUCGAAAAGAUAAACAGUAAUCCUGGUCAAGAAUUGCAAUUUGACCAAGAUGUGGAAAAGUUAUUUUCAGCAGAGAGUGUCUUCGACGGAGUUGAUUCAGAAUACCAACAAAGAUCAUAUUUUAAGCGUCAUUUCAAUUUGGUGGUAAAUUACCAACCUACCAAACCUGAACCAGCUGCCAGCUUUGUCAGCUUGCUUUAUAUUUUUUUAACUGAUUUGCAGGAACCAAUAGAAGUUGAGAUGGGAAAACAGUGGAGAAGUGAUUUUCGACAAGGGAGAAAAAUACUUAAACGUGUCACAGUUUUUGGUUAUCAAGUUCCAUUAUUAAAGACUUUGGAGGCACUUCUUCAAAACCCAGAUGUUUUAAAGGAAGUUGAAAAUCCACAUUUUUCAUGUGAUGGUGUUCUUCGAGAUGUAAUGGAUGGGGAUUUUUUCAAGAGUCAUCCAGUAUUCUCCCUCCACAGUGAUGCCCUGCAGCUGUUGGGCUAUUAUGAUGAUCUAGAAAUAGCCAAUCCUUUAGGUUCAAAAGCAAAGAUUCAUAAAAUUGGUGUCUUUUACUUUGUGCUGGGCAAUAUAAGGCCAAUGUUUAGAUCAAGCAUCCGCAGUAUACAACUUAUAGCUAUUGCUAAAACAAAAGACAUCAAGUCAUUUGGGAUCGAUAAUCUUUUGAUGCCAUUCAUUGAGGAUGUCAAUUGUUUGGCGAAGGCUAAUGGUCACUGUUUUACCAUAAAUGGUGUUGCCCGUGUGUUUCGAGGUGAUCUGUUAUUGUGGACUGGAGAUACACUUGGUAGCAACUAUGUCAGUGGUUUAAAGGAAGGUGUUGGAGGAGCAUUGCGAAUUUGUAGGCAUUGUAUGGGAACAAGACUGGAGACCAACAAUAAGUUUUUAUCUGAAGACUUUUCAGAAAGAGAUUUGGAUAAUCACAGACAAAUAUGUGCAUGUAUUGAAGAUGAAGAUAAUGCAUUAAACAUCCGUGAACAACUUUCCACAACCUAUGGGGUAAACAGAUUAAGUGUGUUGGAUAAGGUGCAACAUUUUGAUGUUUGCAUUUGCAUUCCUGAAGAUAUAAUGCAUAUAUUUUUGGAUGGCUUGGUACCCUAUGAAACAAAGUUGAUGCUGAAGUAUCUGAUUGAUGAAAGCAGAUGUAUCACACUCAAAGAGUUAAAUCGGAGGAUUGAAAACUUUGAUUAUGGAUACAUGAACAAAAAGAAUAAGCCAACUGCAACUAACAGGGAAACAAUCAAUGGUGUCACUGAAGCUAAGCUUAAACAAUCAGGUACAUAUACUUUUAAAACCCUUUCUUUCACUGCAGUCAUUGGGAAAGUAUUAACUAAUUUAUAUGUCUUGCUUUAUGCAGCCUAAUUGUCUUGAACUACCAAAUGUAGACUUCAAAUUUGUACUUCUCCAGGAAUAACAAAGGCUGAUGCUGCCUAUUUGAAAGUUAUGAUUAAUGAUCAUCACAAAAUGUUCAAAAAUCUCUACCCUAAUGCAUCCAUAAUUCCAAAAAUGCAUUAUCUUAUACAUAUACCUGAUGAAAUUGUUAGGUUUGGGCCACCUAGAAAUAUCUGGACCAUGAGAUUUGAGGCUAAACACAGUUUCCUGAAAAGUUCAAUUACCAAGAACUUUAAAAAUGUCCCCAAAUCACUUGCAUUUUCCCAUCAAAGGUAUAUAUUUUUUAAAAUCAUUGUGCACAAUUAGAUUGACUUGUAUUCCACCCCUCUAAAGUAGCUGUGUUUUAUCACUCUAGGCUUAAUUUUGAAUAAAUGUGUAGAUUUGUGUAUUUCAAUUAUACAUUUUUUACAGAAUUGUGUAUUUAUCAUACUAAUCAUGGUGUAAUUGUUUUUUAUUUAGGAACAUGUGCUGGAACCUUCUGAG
This 2305-nucleotide unclassified non-coding RNA is filed under the name Dendronephthya gigantea. Its description in RNAcentral is "uncharacterized LOC114544949, transcript variant X1". Lineage: Eukaryota; Metazoa; Cnidaria; Anthozoa; Malacalcyonacea; Nephtheidae. The record is from RNAcentral.